GCGUAUUGCAUGGUGUGGCUUUUUUUUCUUCUUUUGACUAAUUGUUACAACUUACCCCAGUAUGUGUUACAUCCUACCCAUAGACAGCUAUGUAUUUUUAUCCUUGAGCAAAUGGCUUUGUGAGUAUGUCUCCAGUGAGCUAGCCAAAAGUGACUUUUUGUGUCAAUUUACCUUCCCUCCCCACUGCAGCCAUACACUUCAGCCACUGGAUUGAAGUGUCUACGGCCCAUUUAAGAAAAUGGUAAACACUGCAAAUGAUGCCUGGAUGAAGAUGAAUUCUGCAAAGACGAUGAUGAUAUAUGAUAUUCCAAGUAUUGUGAAAACAGCUUUGCCUGCAGCAGCAACACCGAAAAACAUUCAAGCCUGAUUUCAAUCUACAGCUCACCAGUCCAUGGCCUCCUCUCCUCCAGCUCACCAGUCCAUGGUCUCCACUCCUCCAGCUCACCAGUCGACGACCUCCACUCCUCCAGCUCACCAGUCCAUGGCCUCCUCUCCUCCAGCUCACCAGUCGACGACCUCCACUCCUCCAGCUGGAGGAGAGGAGACCAUGGACUGGUGAGCUGGAGGAGAGGAGACCAUGGACUGAUGAGCUGGAGGAGAGGAGGCCAUGGACUGGUGAGCUGGAGGAGUGGAGGUCGUCGACUGGUGAGCUGGAGGAGAGGAGGCCAUGGACUGGUGAGCUGGAGGAGUGGAGGCCAUGGACUGGUGAGCUGGAGGAGUUGAGACCAUGGACUGGUGAGCUGGAGAAGAGGAGGCCAUGAACUGGUGAACUGGAGGAGAGAAGGUCAUGGACUGGUGAGUUAGAGGAGAAGAGGCAGUCAUUUGGUCAGUUGGAGGAGUAAAUGACAUGCUUGGGUCUGGUCGGUCAGUCACUUGUGAGGGUGCAUAGUCACUGUCAUCAAAAAUAUCAGGACUGAAGGGCCAAAUACCUGUAGAUUGAAAUCAGGCUUGAAUGUUUUUGGGUGUUGCUGCUGCAGGCAAAGCUGUUUUCACAAUACCUGGAAUAUCAUAUAUCAUCAUCGUCUUUGCAGAAUUUAUCUUCAUCCAGGCAUCAUUUGCAGUGUUUACCAUUUUCUUAAAUGGGCAGUAGACACUUCGAUCCAGUGGCUGAAGUUUAUGGCUGCAGUGGGGAGGGAAGGUAAGCAGCACAAUUCCCUUUUCUUUACAAAAUUCAAUAGCUUUCACAGAUAAAUGUGAGUGGUGGUUGUCUAGCAAAAGCAAAGUAUUAUAAAGUAUUCUUUGUAACGCUCACAAGGGAAUACAAAGAAGGGGGGGGUCGCAUUUCCAUGUGCUUGCACAGCGCAUGCUACCGACGGAUGUCAUUGCACCCGCCUGCUUUGCUCCACGACGUGCAAUAACACGGUCUGGUGACUGAACUGUUGUGACACCAGUUUCGUCUACAUUCCAUUUGUCGCUCCCGUCAAAGUUGUAUUUCUCAAUGACCUGUCUAAGGAAGCUGAAGAAACGCUCCACAUUUGUGUGGUUAAAAUUUGUAGCUCGUGAAAGGCUGGUUGCCUCUGGACUCCUCAUUGUCAGCCUUGGGUUCGCUUCAAAAAGAAUGUGAACCAG
This is a long non-coding RNA of Cyprinus carpio carpio, 1569 nucleotides long. NCBI's taxonomy places the organism in Eukaryota, Metazoa, Chordata, Actinopteri, Cypriniformes, Cyprinidae. The record is from Ensembl.